RNAcentral lists this transfer RNA (75 nucleotides) under Parcubacteria group bacterium CG1_02_50_68. Its description in RNAcentral is "tRNA-Glu". It matches the Rfam family "tRNA". From Rfam's summary of the family: Transfer RNA (tRNA) molecules are approximately 80 nucleotides in length. Their secondary structure includes four short double-helical elements and three loops (D, anti-codon, and T loops). RNAcentral also lists the same sequence under 6 other names. The record is from RNAcentral.
GGCCCUAUCGUCUAACGGUUAGGACAGCGCCCUUUCACGGCGUAAAUCGGGGUUCGAUCCCCCGUAGGGUCACAA